AGGACAACAACCUGAAUGCACAGCACUUCCAAAUUUAUGAUCUUGACAUGGGUUUUGGCAUAGUAGGAGGAAACCUCCUUGACAACGUCUAUUUCUACAACAAGAGGGACCUGAACACAGCCUUCAGGAUUCAGUCGUAUCAGGUGUCCAGUCUGAA
Molecule: long non-coding RNA, 157 nt
Organism: Cyprinus carpio (common carp)
Lineage: Eukaryota; Metazoa; Chordata; Actinopteri; Cypriniformes; Cyprinidae
Exons: 3
Source: RefSeq, a predicted model, not a curated record